CAGUAGCCGCGGUAAUACGGAGGGGGCUAGCGUUGUUCGGAAUUACUGGGCGUAAAGCGCACGUAGGCGGCUUUGUAAGUCAGAGGUGAAAGCCUGGAGCUCAACUCCAGAAUUGCCUUUGAGACUGCAUCGCUUGAACGUCGGAGAGGUGAGUGGAAUUCCGAGUGUAGAGGUGAAAUUCGUAGAUAUUCGGAAGAACACCAGUGGCGAAGGCGGCUCACUGGACGACUGUUGACGCUGAGGUGCGAAAGCGUGGGGAGCAAACAGGAUUAGAUACCCCGUAGUCCCUGUCUCUUAUACA
This 301-nucleotide ribosomal RNA is filed under the name uncultured bacterium. RNAcentral describes it as "partial 16S ribosomal RNA". It matches the Rfam family "Bacterial small subunit ribosomal RNA", at positions 509 to 808 of the family's 1533-position model. The record is from RNAcentral.